GAUGAACGCUGGCGGCGUGCCUAAUACAUGCAAGUAGAACGCUGAAGGAAGGAGCUUGCUCUUUCCGGAUGAGUUGCGAACGGGUGAGUAACGCGUAGGUAACCUGCCUGGUAGCGGGGGAUAACUAUUGGAAACGAUAGCUAAUACCGCAUAACAGUAGAUGUUGCAUGAUAUCUACUUAAAAGGUGCAAUUGCACCACUACCAGAUGGACCUGCGUUGUAUUAGCUAGUUGGUGAGGUAAUGGCUCACCAAGGCGACGAUACAUAGCCGACCUGAGAGGGUGAUCGGCCACACUGGGACUGAGACACGGCCCAGACUCCUACGGGAGGCAGCAGUAGGGAAUCUUCGGCAAUGGACGGAAGUCUGACCGAGCAACGCCGCGUGAGUGAAGAAGGUUUUCGGAUCGUAAAGCUCUGUUGUAAGAGAAGAACGAGUGUGAGAGUGGAAAGUUCACACUGUGACGGUAUCUUACCAGAAAGGGACGGCUAACUACGUG
This 497-nucleotide ribosomal RNA is filed under the name uncultured bacterium. RNAcentral's name for it is "partial 16S ribosomal RNA". It matches the Rfam family "Bacterial small subunit ribosomal RNA", at positions 28 to 507 of the family's 1533-position model. The record is from RNAcentral.